RNAcentral lists this long non-coding RNA (401 nucleotides) under Medicago truncatula (barrel medic). RNAcentral's name for it is "lncRNA gene31675". The record is from RNAcentral. Lineage: Eukaryota; Viridiplantae; Streptophyta; Magnoliopsida; Fabales; Fabaceae.
UUUUUAAUUUGUUUGGGGUAGUUAGUGAUUGUGCUUCCAGGUAACAUUUAUCCCAUGCCUCUUAGCUAUAUAUGUCUCAUACUCGAAUAGGGAAGGGAAUGAAAGGGUUGAUGUUAGUAUGACAUUGUCGAUAUGGAAGUUUAGGAAUUUUCACAUAUUUUGUGCAAAGUCCCUCAAAGAGGUGGAGGUGUUCGAUACUACUAUCAAGAAUCUGUAUUGGAAUUGAUUUUUAGGAAAAUAGAGGAUUUUCUUUGUCUCUUUUAUGAAUGGUUUGAUUACCCUUUAGAUAUUUCAAGAUAGAUUUGUUUGUUUUGUUUCCAUCUGUCACACUAAUUUUUGGGGUCGGGUGAAUAUUACUUGUACUUUAUCGCGUUGAAUGGAUUUAAUACCACUUGUGCGUU